This 379-nucleotide long non-coding RNA is filed under the name Rattus norvegicus (Norway rat). RNAcentral describes it as "long non-coding RNA NONRATT014693". Lineage: Eukaryota; Metazoa; Chordata; Mammalia; Rodentia; Muridae. The record is from RNAcentral.
UGGUCAGUCCCCCAUCGGGCCACUAGGAGGAUGGUGAGGAACAGCCGGCGCUGCUGUGGCUGCAGGUCUGAAAAGAACUGUGUUUGGUAUGCAGAUAUGCUAGAAGACUGCCCGAGAGCUGCUUCCUUUGCCACUUCCUGUGGAGGCCGGGCUUUGCCAUUUGCGGUUUCUUUCUUCUUUUGGUCAGCACCUUACAAGGAGGUAGUGACCUGUCCAGGGGUGAAACUGGGAAAGAAUCGAACUUGUCUAUCAGGGAAACAUGUCCCGUAGGAAACAGACAAAUCCAAAUAAAGUUCACUGGGAUCAAGUAUUUGCUGGGUUAGAAGAACAAGCCCGACAGGCAAUGAUGAAAACCGAGUUUCCUGGAGACCUUGGCAGU